This 1287-nucleotide ribosomal RNA is filed under the name metagenome. RNAcentral's name for it is "bacterial SSU rRNA". It matches the Rfam family "Bacterial small subunit ribosomal RNA", at positions 242 to 1520 of the family's 1533-position model. The record is from RNAcentral.
UAGCUAGUUGGUGAGGUAAAGGCUUACCAAGGCGACGAUCUGUAGCGGGUCUGAGAGGAUGAUCCGCCACACUGGAACUGAGACACGGUCCAGACUCCUACGGGAGGCAGCAGUGGGGAAUUUUGGACAAUGGGGGCAACCCUGAUCCAGCCAUGCCGCGUGAGUGAAGAAGGCCUUCGGGUUGUAAAGCUCUUUCGGCCGGGAAGAAAUCGCAUGGGCCAAUUCCCUGUGUGGAUGACGGUACCGGAAUAAGAAGCACCGGCUAACUACGUGCCAGCAGCCGCGGUAAUACGUAGGGUGCGAGCGUUAAUCGGAAUUACUGGGCGUAAAGCGUGCGCAGGCGGUUUUGUAAGACAGGCGUGAAAUCCCCGGGCUUAACCUGGGAACUGCGUUUGUGACUGCAAGGCUAGAGUACGGCAGAGGGGGGUGGAAUUCCACGUGUAGCAGUGAAAUGCGUAGAGAUGUGGAGGAACACCAAUGGCGAAGGCAGCCCCCUGGGUCGAUACUGACGCUCAUGCACGAAAGCGUGGGUAGCAAACAGGAUUAGAUACCCUGGUAGUCCACGCCCUAAACUAUGUCAACUAGGUGUUGGGUGGGUAAAACCAUUUAGUACCGUAGCUAACGCGUGAAGUUGACCGCCUGGGGAGUACGGCCGCAAGGUUAAAACUCAAAGGAAUUGACGGGGACCCGCACAAGCGGUGGAUGAUGUGGAUUAAUUCGAUGCAACGCGAAAAACCUUACCUACCCUUGACAUGCCAGGAACUUGCCAGAGAUGGCUUGGUGCCCGAAAGGGAGCCUGGACACAGGUGCUGCAUGGCUGUCGUCAGCUCGUGUCGUGAGAUGUUGGGUUAAGUCCCGCAACGAGCGCAACCCUUGUCGUUAAUUGCCAUCAUUUGGUUGGGCACUUUAACGAGACUGCCGGUGACAAACCGGAGGAAGGUGGGGAUGACGUCAAGUCCUCAUGGCCCUUAUGGGUAGGGCUUCACACGUCAUACAAUGGUCGGUACAAAGGGUUGCCAAGCCGCGAGGCGGAGCCAAUCCCAGAAAGCCGAUCGUAGUCCGGAUUGCAGGCUGCAACUCGCCUGCAUGAAGUCGGAAUCGCUAGUAAUCGUGGAUCAGCAUGUCACGGUGAAUACGUUCCCGGGUCUUGUACACACCGCCCGUCACACCAUGGGAGCGGGUUCCGCCAGAAGUAGGUAGCCUAACCGCAAGGGGGGCGCUUACCACGGCGGGGUUCGUGACUGGGGUGAAGUCGUAACAAGGUAGCCGUAGGGGAACCUGCGGCUG